This 364-nucleotide unclassified non-coding RNA is filed under the name Hevea brasiliensis (rubber tree). The record is from RNAcentral. Lineage: Eukaryota; Viridiplantae; Streptophyta; Magnoliopsida; Malpighiales; Euphorbiaceae.
GUGUGUGUGUGUGUGUGUGUGAUAAUUCUUGUUUUAUUGGGGUUUUUGUUCAUUCAUUUUUUUCUUGAAUACUUGAAUAAUCUUGGAUCUGAAUAAUCUUCAAUCAAAAUUUGAGUAUUUCUUCAAUCAUCCAAUCUUUGUUGCUUUUCCCAUGUUGAUGAUCAAGUUUAAGAGAAGUGACAGAGAUGAUUUUCAAUGGAAGAAAACUAGUAUCAUCCUCAUUUAAUCUCCCUUUUGUAUUUUAAGUGGUUUUAGCAUGAAUUGGGAUAGUCUUAAGUUUAGAAUAAUUUUAUUGAAGUUUGUUUGAAAUAUGAAAAUUUGAUUCUCAUUGUCUGAAUUUGUUGAUUUGGGUAUGUUGGGGAGG